RNAcentral lists this ribosomal RNA (425 nucleotides) under Stenotrophomonas sp. SAM-B. RNAcentral describes it as "bacterial SSU rRNA". It matches the Rfam family "Bacterial small subunit ribosomal RNA", at positions 351 to 793 of the family's 1533-position model. Lineage: Bacteria; Pseudomonadati; Pseudomonadota; Gammaproteobacteria; Lysobacterales; Lysobacteraceae. The record is from RNAcentral.
GCAGUGGGGAAUAUUGGACAAUGGGCGCAAGCCUGAUCCAGCCAUGCCGCGUGAGUGAUGAAGGCCUUAGGGUUGUAAAGCUCUUUUAGCGGGGAAGAUAAUGACGGUACCCGCAGAAGAAGCCCCGGCUAACUUCGUGCCAGCAGCCGCGGUAAUACGAAGGGGGCUAGCGUUGCUCGGAAUUACUGGGCGUAAAGGGCGCGUAGGCGGACAGUUUAGUCAGAGGUGAAAGCCCAGGGCUCAACCUUGGAAUUGCCUUUGAUACUGACUGUCUUGAGUACGGGAGAGGUGUGUGGAACUCCGAGUGUAGAGGUGAAAUUCGUAGAUAUUCGGAAGAACACCAGUGGCGAAGGCGACACACUGGCCCGUUACUGACGCUGAGGCGCGAAAGCGUGGGGAGCAAACAGGAUUAGAUACCCUAGUAG